AUACCUGAAUAUGGUGUUGACUCUUGAAUCUCAUCAAGCCUCUAACCAUUUAACCUUUGGCUUUCCUGACCCACUUCUCGCAAUUCCAUGUGGGUCUUUAUUAUUCAGCCUUUACCAUUUACCCUUCCUAUUCAUGGACCAUGUGACUUUAACAUCAGAUUAAUAGAAGAGUGCCUCAGUGGCCACUUUGGCACUUUGGUCUCCUCACAUCACUGCUGUUCAAUGGGGGCACUGCUGGCAUUGAGAGAGCAGGUCUGUGGUCCUUGGACUGAAAGAGUUUGAACAUCCUGGCCUCCAUCGCUGAGAACCAGCACUACCAGGGAUUUACAAUAAGCAAAAAUGUCCCCCCAAAUUUCCAAGUGGCUCCUUGUUGAGUCACACUGCUUGAGAUCUGCCUUUAGAUCUUUCAGAAACACACAUUUUCUCCCUAAAUGGGAUUGUUUGUGCCUCUGUCAAUACACUGUUUCUUUUUUGAAGGCUUGUCAUAUUUUAAAGUCAUUCUUCCUUUUAAAGUUUUUUUUUUUUUUUAGCCUUGGAAUGAGUCAUACAUUAUUUUAUUUUGUUUUCUUUUGUUUUACUUAUUAUUAUGGGAAAUGUGGAACACACACAAAUAGCGUAGUAUAAGGAACCCCCAUGGAUCCAUCACCUCGUUUUAACAAUUAUGACCUCAUAGACAUUCCUGUUUUUUUCUAUACAGCCACCUACGAUUCUCCACCUACUCCCCCCCACUGCCAUUAGGUAAUUUUGAAGCAAAUCACAGACAUCAUUCAUGCCAAGAGGGGACAAAAGCUGAAUUAUAAGCCCACACAAUUUAUGGUUCUUCAGGUUUGCCGCUUGGAUGUCUACAACCAUGUCAACUCACUACUAAGUCAGCUGCAAAUUACUCGGUUCCCAACCUAAUAUUUGGUGUACAAAUGAGGGCACCGUGCUCUGUAAAGUUGUUCUUGCACAGUUGUGUCUGCCUCAGCAGGGAAAAUGUGGAAGCCAGGAAUUCCCACUUGCUCCUUUGUUCUUACCUUCCUAGACAAUCCUACCAAAUCAUUGCAACUUGGUGCAGAGGAAGAACAGCGUGAGCUGGGAAUUGGCUACUGUUCUAUGCUUGUAUGAUGAAUAGAUCAAAGAGAAUUAUGGAGGAAUCCAUUACUUUAAGCCAGAAAAAGCCGAAGAAGUUACAGACUACAUUAAGUAUAAACUGCAAACUAAUUGGCCAUCUUGGAAAUAUCAUAGUUUUUCAGAUUAUUAUAAAGUUCCAAAGCCCUACUGUAUCUUUUUACACAUAAAGAAAUCGAUAAGCCCUACUGUAUCUUUUUACACAUAAAGAAAUUUAAGACUAAAAAUAAGAUAAUUCAUUUAAGCUCACAAUAUUAUUUGGUCUUAUUUUGGGGAGCUGUCAAGUAAAAUAACAAAUUAAAAAGGGCUAAUCUUCCAAAAUAGAGUACAGCGACCUUUUCCUUUUUUUUUUUUCUUAAAUGCGUUGGGCCAAUUUUUUUUUAAGU
Molecule: long non-coding RNA, 1496 nt
Organism: Leopardus geoffroyi (Geoffroy's cat)
Lineage: Eukaryota; Metazoa; Chordata; Mammalia; Carnivora; Felidae
Exons: 4
Source: RefSeq, a predicted model, not a curated record